UUUAAAAAUGUUGACAAAAAAGAAAAUUAAAGAUCUCCGAGAUGAUGUAGUUGCAUCUAGCUGCUAGUAUUUCCUCUGCAUUAUUUUAUGUGCUCUGAUUGUCAGCCGGAGAGUCAUCAUUUACUUUCUGUUCAGCAGGUCUAGCUGUGGCAUGAAAAGAAAUGAAGACAUGUGGGAGCAGAAAGACGGCAGAGAAAUGAAAGCUGACAGCAGCCUUUUGAGUUGAGAUUGCCGUUAGCAGGGAAUUAAAAGUUCAUCCGAAGUCGAUGGGACUUCAAAAGCCGAUGCGCUUGUCGAGCUUCAAGUCACCUCACAUAUCUACUGCAGCUGAGCAUGGAAAACACUCAGGGAGCUGUUUUCAAGCACAAGUAUUCCCACUUCACACUCAAUUUGAAAAGCACUGGGACAUCUUUCACAAAAAUGUCUGUUUUGUCUGAAAUACAUUUUCCAAAACUUGUAUUUUUUAAACAGAAGAACUAAAACCAAUAAUUUCUAUUAAUUUCUACAUAUGCAGCAGCCUUAGGGUUAAGGCUACGCUAUAAUUUGUCUCCUCCUGCAACUUGGACCUCAGUAACCCUUAUGCUUCUUCUGGAAAUAGUUCAACGUUAUGUUUAUGAAUGAGCUCGGAUGAUUUGUUUCCCUUUUAAUACUGUAGUUCUCAUAUGCAGUGCCAUUUGAAGCCACUGAUGCACAUAUUCACUGAAAGUUUCAUUUAUUUGACUGGAAGUGGCCAUAGAAAGUGGCACACAGUUUGUGUGUGUAAGUCUGUUGAACCUCCUCUCAUUGCAAGGCGUGACCAGAAUGUGUGUCCUCACAGCUGAAGCUCAUUAAGGCCAAUCAAGAGACACACGCCAGAUUUUUUUUGCUCACAUUAGUAGUAAUCAGGCUUCCCUCUUCUCGGUAUAAAUGUUCUUUGAAUUCUGACACUCACCUUUGCUGACUCUCCUCACCUCCAUGCUCACUCACCUGCCAGUGUUCAGCACUCCAUUACUCCAACCAAUAAAUCCAUUCACCAGUCCCCUGCCAACCUCAGUUGCUAUGGUUAUACUUACCUCCUCCUCAGCAGUAUAAACCAUUUUAAGACAACUGCAACAUAAAUCUGAAACAUCUCCUCUUUGUGCUGUCCUGGAUAAAAUACAAAUAAAUACUAAAUACAAGCCACACUUUUUAGAUUUUCCAGUAUGUGUUAGUAUGAAAUCCGAUGAGAUACUCUAAGAUUCUAGACUUUAAUAAAAUAAAUUGUGGUACAGUGUUAACGGUACUUUACCACAAUUUAUGGACCAUGUCUCAAAUGGUUGCCACCAUUCUCUGAGAUUCUGAAAUUCAUUAAGCAAAAAAAAAAAAAAAAAAUACUAACCAAAGAAAAUAUAAGGAAUUGAAUAGUGCUGAAGAGAUUCCCAUCUAACUUUGUCUUAAACAUACCAUUUGACUCAGCUGUGCUAAUGUUGGUAAAGAAUGAGCACCGAAAAACAAAGUCCUCGCCUGUCAACAAAGAUUUCUCUAGAGAGUUUAUGUUAUGAAAUAAAUACUGACACCCACUCUGACAUAUUUGUGCUUCAGGAUACAACAUAAUAGUUUAUUGUCAGCCCAAAAAAUCUAAUUUGUUACAGUGCAGUGGGGGUAAGAAGUAGAGAUAAGUUUAUGAAUUUGGUGUGCAGUUUAAGCUUGAACCUUCAUGUUUCAUUUCAGAUUAACCACAUAGGGUGACACCCUUAAAGUAAUAUUAUCUUGAACCUCCACCAAUCAGUCUUUUUUUGCCACCAGUGAGAGACUGGAGUUCAGCUGUUUUUUUUUUCUCAUCUGUUUUUACAAAAGCAAUGGGUGAUUUUUUAUUUUUUUAUAUUUUGGAAGAAAUUUCUGGUUAGCACUGCUUGUGUUCUACAUGUUACUACAGUCUCCUGAGUCCUCCAUAUGCUUAAGCUCAAAAUUAGAGUGAGUCUGGCACAAGAGCAUCACUGGGCAUCACCAAAAUAAGACCAUUCAAACAGAGACAGCAUCAUGAUUGAAAAGAGGUUUGGUCACGAUGGAUGAAAUGAGGAGCAGUUCUAAAUGCAGGUUAAUUGUGACCCAAAGUUUUUAGACAUCUGCUAGAACGGUGAAGAAGACCAUGGACAAUUCUUCUUAUUUGAAAUAUUUGGAGGAUUUCUGUGUGUUGGCAAAUAUUGCCAAGUCUAGAUGUUGGAUUCGUAACACUGAAAGCUGAAACUGAAUCAAAAAAUGAUUUAACAGAUAUUAUUUCAUUAGAGGUGUGAACACUUAAGCAGCCAGAUUGUUCCAGCUUUUAAGUUUUUAUGAAAUAUAUUUUUCCCUCUAAGAGAUGUCUUUUCUUUCAUUGCUUAAUUGUACGGGAUAUGUGAUAAAAAAAAAGACAGAGAAAGUUUUUAAAGACUGUAUGUUUUUCCCAUCACAAAACUCUGGGAUGUGAACAGAGGUGUGUAGAAUUUUUACAUCCACUGUACAAAAAGGAGCACUCAAAAAAUCCACUUCUUGAAGAAAAGCGACUCUCGAUUUGUUUUGGGAAACAUGCUUUGUCACUAAAACUGUCUUUGUGACGGAUAUAUUCAAUUGCAUUUACUUUGAAGGCAAUUUCCUCGUGUCUUGAUUUAAUCAGGAGAUAGAUGUCCCCAGGACUUAGACAUGCGUGCAACGUGUUGGGCUGAUAGGACCUGUGUCUCCUCUUUGUUUGCUCUGAGCUUCUCUUUAGCGUAUGCGGUCUGAGAGAGGAAUGCUGCUACCGCUCCAGACUGAAGGGAGCACGCUUAGUGGAUGAAAUAUGGAUCCAAACACUCACUGGAAACUCGUAGAUACUCUGGCACCAGUCCAAAGACUCGUCAGUGUUGACAAAUAGGCUGUCAGACAGCCACGAGUCCACACAAAUUUCACCUGUUGUCUACGUCUGCACACCACAAAUCUAAAGCACCAGGGAGGUUCAGCAGAGAAAUGACUCCUGCUCUCAGAUGAGUUGGACAGAUGAGAAAACUCAGAGUUUCAUCAAUUUUUUUCCCACACAGAGCCCAAGUUAUUUGAAAUGCAUACUAUGGGGCCGCGGUAUACCCAUGUGCAAUCAGUACCAUUUCACUGAGUCAAUGUGAUGUUUCUGACGUUAAAUGAUCAGCUUUAUGCACACAUGCAUGGUGGGACUUCAUGAAACAUUCAUUAGUGCUCGUUACAUUGUUUACUCUCUGGACUUGAGAGGUUGUUGAAUAAAAAGAGGUUUAUUGAAAGGUUA
Xiphophorus hellerii (green swordtail) is the source of this 3229-nucleotide long non-coding RNA. RefSeq lists it as uncharacterized. The record is from RefSeq and is a predicted model, not a curated record. The transcript is spliced from 2 exons. Lineage: Eukaryota; Metazoa; Chordata; Actinopteri; Cyprinodontiformes; Poeciliidae.